Molecule: ribosomal RNA, 201 nt
Filed under: uncultured bacterium
Lineage: Bacteria
Description: partial 16S ribosomal RNA
Rfam family: Bacterial small subunit ribosomal RNA
Source: RNAcentral
GUAGUCUGCAACUCGACUACAUGAAGCUGGAAUCGCUAGUAAUCGCUGAUCAGAAUGCUGCGGUGAAUACGUUCCCGGGUCUUGUACACACCGCCCGUCACACCAUGGGAGUCGGAAAUGCCCGAAGCCGGUGACCCAACCAAAAGGAGGGAGCCGUCGAAGGCAGGUCUGAUAACUGGGGUGAAGUCGUAACAAGGUAGC